ACUGUUAGCAGCACAGGAUUGAGGAGUUAGAAGAGACCUUUAGAACAGCUGGUCAUUAUGCCGACCGGGUGCCUGCACUAAGUUCGGCAUCAAUAUGGUGACCUCUGGGAGUGGGGGGCCACCAAGUUGCCUAAGGAUGGCUGAACUGGCCCAGGUCAGAAACAGAGCAGGUCAGAACUCCUGCACCGACCAGUAGUGGGACUGUGCCCGGGCGGUAUAGCAAGAUCUUGGUUCUUAAAAGGAAAAAU
RNAcentral lists this small RNA (248 nucleotides) under Cercocebus atys (sooty mangabey). RNAcentral describes it as "Metazoan signal recognition particle RNA (ENSCATG00000018919.1)". The stretch from base 59 to 214 matches the Rfam family "Metazoan signal recognition particle RNA", at positions 96 to 252 of the family's 299-position model. Rfam says of the family: The signal recognition particle (SRP) is a universally conserved ribonucleoprotein. The record is from RNAcentral. Lineage: Eukaryota; Metazoa; Chordata; Mammalia; Primates; Cercopithecidae.